RNAcentral lists this ribosomal RNA (501 nucleotides) under Microbacteriaceae bacterium 46Lc. RNAcentral's name for it is "bacterial SSU rRNA". It matches the Rfam family "Bacterial small subunit ribosomal RNA", at positions 119 to 628 of the family's 1533-position model. The record is from RNAcentral. Lineage: Bacteria; Bacillati; Actinomycetota; Actinomycetes; Micrococcales; Microbacteriaceae.
GAGUAACCUGCCCUUGACUCUGGGAUAAGCGUUGGAAACGACGUCUAAUACCGGAUAUGACCUGUGACGGCAUCGUCUGCAGGUGGAAAGAAUUUUGGUCAAGGAUGGACUCGCGGCCUAUCAGGUAGUUGGUGAGGUAACGGCUCACCAAGCCGACGACGGGUAGCCGGCCUGAGAGGGUGACCGGCCACACUGGGACUGAGACACGGCCCAGACUCCUACGGGAGGCAGCAGUGGGGAAUAUUGCACAAUGGGCGAAAGCCUGAUGCAGCAACGCCGCGUGAGGGACGACGGCCUUCGGGUUGUAAACCUCUUUUAGUUGGGAAGAAGGGAGCUUGCUCUUGACGGUACCAGCAGAAAAAGCACCGGCUAACUACGUGCCAGCAGCCGCGGUAAUACGUAGGGUGCAAGCGUUGUCCGGAAUUAUUGGGCGUAAAGAGCUCGUAGGCGGUUUGUCGCGUCUGCUGUGAAAUCUGGGGGCUCAACCCCCAGCCUGCAGUG